GACGAACGCUGGCGUGCGUGCUUAACACAUGCAAGUCGAACGGAAAGGCCCUGCUUUUGUGGGGUGCUCGAGUGGCGAACGGGUGAGUAACACGUGAGUAACCUGCCCUUGACUUUGGGAUAACUUCAGGAAACUGGGGCUAAUACCGGAUAGGAGCUCCUGCUGCAUGGUGGGGGUUGGAAAGUUUCGGCGGUUGGGGAUGGACUCGCGGCUUAUCAGCUUGUUGGUGGGGUAGUGGCUUACCAAGGCUUUGACGGGUAGCCGGCCUGAGAGGGUGACCGGCCACAUUGGGACUGAGAUACGGCCCAGACUCCUACGGGAGGCAGCAGUGGGGAAUAUUGCACAAUGGGCGGAAGCCUGAUGCAGCAACGCCGCGUGCGGGAUGACGGCCUUCGGGUUGUAAACCGCUUUCGCCUGUGACGAAGCGUGAGUGACGGUAAUGGGUAAAGAAGCACCGGCUAACUACGUGCCAGCAGCCGCGGUGAUACGUAGGGUGCGAGCGUUGUCCGGAUUUAUUGGGCGUAAAGGGCUCGUAGGUGGUUGAUCGCGUCGGAAGUGUAAUCUUGGGGCUUAACCCUGAGCGUGCUUUCGAUACGGGUUGACUUGAGGAAGGUAGGGGAGAAUGGAAUUCCUGGUGGAGCGGUGGAAUGCGCAGAUAUCAGGAGGAACACCAGUGGCGAAGGCGGUUCUCUGGGCCUUUCCUGACGCUGAGGAGCGAAAGCGUGGGGAGCGAACAGGCUUAGAUACCCUGGUAGUCCACGCUGUAAACGGUGGGUACUAGGUGUGGGGUCCAUUCCACGGGUUCCGUGCCGUAGCUAACGCUUUAAGUACCCCGCCUGGGGAGUACGGCCGCAAGGCUAAAACUCAAAGGAAUUGACGGGGCCCCGCACAAGCGGCGGAGCAUGCGGAUUAAUUCGAUGCAACGCGUAGAACCUUACCUGGGUUUGACAUGGAUCGGGAGUGCUCAGAGAUGGGUGUGCCUCUUUUGGGGUCGGUUCACAGGUGGUGCAUGGCUGUCGUCAGCUCGUGUCGUGAGAUGUUGGGUUAAGUCCCGCAACGAGCGCAACCCUUGUUCACUGUUGCCAGCACGUUAUGGUGGGGACUCAGUGGAGACCGCCGGGGUCAACUCGGAGGAAGGUGGGGAUGACGUCAAGUCAUCAUGCCCCUUAUGUCCAGGGCUUCACGCAUGCUACAAUGGCUGGUACAGAGAGUGGCGAGCCUGUGAGGGUGAGCGAAUCUCGGAAAGCCGGUCUCAGUUCGGAUUGGGGUCUGCAACUCGACCUCAUGAAGUCGGAGUCGCUAGUAAUCGCAGAUCAGCAACGCUGCGGUGAAUACGUUCCCGGGGC
This 1346-nucleotide ribosomal RNA is filed under the name uncultured bacterium. Its description in RNAcentral is "partial 16S ribosomal RNA". It matches the Rfam family "Bacterial small subunit ribosomal RNA", at positions 28 to 1380 of the family's 1533-position model. The record is from RNAcentral.